CGCUUUCUAAGGGCAAAAGCUGCCUGUUUCCACGCCCUCACAUUCAAACUGAAAACUGCGCGCCAAGGUUUUGCAGCAGAACAGAUUUGGAAUGAAAAAGAGAAAUGCCUCCCAGAAAGCGUAGGAAGUGUACUUCGGUCACUGUGAAAAAUCAUGCAGAAAAAGCUCAUGCUACAUCAGCAACCCCUGCUGCUUGUUCAGAAAGCGACACUGCUUCCCCACUGCCACAGGCAUGCCCGCCUUCCUCCAGCACAGUCGCUGUGUCACUUCAGCAUCCACCUGUAUCACUGGCUGUGCCUCGCCCAGCUGUAAUACCCGACAGCAUGGCUACACCACAAGUAUUUGCUGAAGUCGAGAGCCUUCUCCCUCUUUCUUUCAACAAGAGAAAGAAAAGGAGAAGCCUGCGAUUUAGGUGUGGGCAUCGGCAAGUUGGCAGUAAGGAUGAUUCCUUUUGACAGGAUCGCAGUUUUGGAGGGCUCGAUCACAACCAAAGAUGUUGCCAUUGGAAAGCUUCAUGAAUUUAACAAUUCAACUUGGCUGACCGCAACAACUCCCCGCCUCCUCAGGAGGGAUGAGACAAAACAUGCGCCCUCCGAUACGAGCACUGUCAAAGCCAUAUGCUAUUUUUCGCACUACAAGCCCAGAGCUCCCACCCCCUAGCGAACACAUCGUUUGGAGGAGUCGAUGCAGCUAGAAAUGCCAACGCCCUGAACCUGCAGGCGCCAGACAGAUUCUGACUGCAUCCUCCAUCACGUCGGACAAUCCAUCUGUGUACCGCCUUUAAAAAACAAAAAACUAAACGUUGAUAAUUAUCACUGUCUAAGUCUGUGUUAGAAAGUACUAUAGCACAUGGUCUGUUUUUUGUUUGCUUUCAAAAUUGUAACUAUUGUAUACUGAUUUUUUAAAACUUAUUGUAUAUUAGUUUUUUAAUUAGUUUUGAAUUUGCUAUGUAUCAUGGAUUGUGUAAAUUACAUAACAAAAAUGAUCAUUAUAAUAAAUCAAGUAUAAUCAAAUCUAAGUAUGAAGACACAUGUAAAAUGCAAUUGGAAUGAACAGUUUUCUGACUCUGCUACUUUGUUUCACUUUUGUUAGAUCACAUUAAGGAACAAUGUUUUCAUUUUUUAUCAAUCAGAUUGUGAUUCAAUUCCCUUCCUGUAACCUUCAGACUUAGGAGAUACCACAUUUCUACCAUAAAAUCUUUUUUUUAUUUUAUAAUGCACACAAGUUUGCAUUCUGUCAUUUUGCCAAAAGCUGGUCUGGGAGGAGGCAGAUAUUUUUCUGAAUAUAUAAGGCAGGGGUAGACACCCCUGGUCCUGGAGUGCCACAGACCAGUGAUUCCCAACCCUGGUCCUGGAGGACCCCCUAACCUGCUGGUUUUUGUUCCAACCGAGCUUGCAAUUACUUAAUCGAACUAAUAAUUUGCCUAAUCAGAGCCUUUUAAUUCUUUUAAACAGUUGGGGUUCCAAGUUAGGUGUAAAAUUGUAUAAGGAACUUGAAUUCUCCAACUUUUUAUAAGUUACAUGAUUUAAAAAGUCCAGUUUAAACUAUUACUUAAAUUAAGGGUUCAAUUAAGUAAUUGAGAGCUCGUUGGAACAA
Molecule: long non-coding RNA, 1596 nt
Organism: Acipenser ruthenus (sterlet)
Lineage: Eukaryota; Metazoa; Chordata; Actinopteri; Acipenseriformes; Acipenseridae
Exons: 6
Source: RefSeq, a predicted model, not a curated record